This 320-nucleotide ribosomal RNA is filed under the name uncultured eukaryote. RNAcentral's name for it is "partial 18S ribosomal RNA". It matches the Rfam family "Eukaryotic small subunit ribosomal RNA", at positions 1470 to 1796 of the family's 1831-position model. The record is from RNAcentral.
CCCUUAGAUGUUCUGGGCCGCACGCGCGCUACACUGACGAAUGCAACGAGCUUAUAACCUUGGCCGAAAGGUCUGGGUAAUCUCCAAAUUUCGUCGUGAUGGGGAUAGAUUAUUGCAAUUAUUAAUCUUCAACGAGGAAUGCCUAGUAAGCGCAAGUCAUCAGCUUGCGUUGAUUACGUCCCUGCCCUUUGUACACACCGCCCGUCGCACCUACCGAUUGAAUGGUCCGGUGAAAUCUCGGGACGGCGGCUUGGUCGCUUGCGUCCGACUGCUGAAACUUGAUUAAACCAUNUNAUUUAUNGGAAGGUGAANUCGUANCA